GACUAACGCUGGCGGCGUGCCUAACACAUGCAAGUCGAACGAGUAGCAAUACUAGUGGCAGACGGGUGAGUAACGCGUAGGUAAUGUGCCUUCUUACUGGGGAUACCGUUCCGAAAGGAGCGUUAAUACCGAAUGUGACGGAGACGGGGCAUCCCGUUUUCGUUAAACUGUUAGGGUGAGAAGAGCAGCCUGCGUUCUAUCAGCUUGUUGGUGGGGUAACGGCCUACCAAGGCUACGACGGAUAGCCGGUCUGAGAGGAUGAUCGGCCACACUGGGACUGAGACACGGCCCAGACUCCUACGGGAGGCAGCAGUGAGGAAUAUUGCGCAAUGGGCGAAAGCCUGACGCAGCGACGCCGCGUGAGGGAUGAAGGCCUUCGGGUUGUAAACCUCUGUCAGUGGGGAAGAGAACGGACGGUACCCACUGAGGAAGCUUCGGCUAACUACGUG
Molecule: ribosomal RNA, 449 nt
Filed under: uncultured organism
Description: bacterial SSU rRNA
Rfam family: Bacterial small subunit ribosomal RNA
Source: RNAcentral